RNAcentral lists this ribosomal RNA (468 nucleotides) under uncultured bacterium. Its description in RNAcentral is "partial 16S ribosomal RNA". It matches the Rfam family "Bacterial small subunit ribosomal RNA", at positions 28 to 507 of the family's 1533-position model. The record is from RNAcentral.
GACGAACGCUGGCGGCGUGCUUAACACAUGCACGUCGAACGGAAAGGCCCUGCUUUUGUGGGGUGCUCGAGUGGCGAACGGGUGAGUAACACGUGAGUAACCUGCCCUUGACUUUGGGAUAACUUCAGGAAACUGGGGCUAAUACCGGAUAGGAGCUCCUGCUGCAUGGUGGGGGUUGGAAAGUUUCGGCGGUUGGGGAUGGACUCGCGGCUUAUCAGCUUGUUGGCGGGGUAGUGGCUUACCAAGGCGUUGACGGGCAGCCGGCCUGAGAGGGUGACCGGCCACAUUGGGACUGAGGUACGGCCACGACUCCUACGGGAGGCAGCAGUGGGGAAUAUUGCCCAAUGGGCGGAAGCCUGAUGCAGCAACGCCGCGUGCGGGAUGACGGCCUUCGGGUUGUAAACCGCUUUCGCCUGUGACGAAGCGUGAGUGACGGUAAUGGGUAAAGAAGCACCGGCUAAAUACGUG